UACGGAGGGGGCUAGCGUUGUUCGGAAUUACUGGGCGUAAAGCGGGUGUAGGCGGAUUGCUAAGUCGGGGGUGAAAGCCCAGGGCUCAACCCUGGAAUUGCCUUCGAUACUGGCAGUCUCGAGUGCAGGAGAGGUGAGCGGAAUUCCGAGUGUAGAGGUGAAAUCCGUAGAUAUUCGGAGGAACACCAGAGGCGAAGGCGGCUCACUGGACUGUUACUGACGCUGAGACCCGAAAGCGUGGGGAGCAAACAGG
Molecule: ribosomal RNA, 253 nt
Filed under: uncultured bacterium
Lineage: Bacteria
Description: partial 16S ribosomal RNA
Rfam family: Bacterial small subunit ribosomal RNA
Source: RNAcentral